This 514-nucleotide ribosomal RNA is filed under the name uncultured bacterium. RNAcentral's name for it is "bacterial SSU rRNA". It matches the Rfam family "Bacterial small subunit ribosomal RNA", at positions 1 to 507 of the family's 1533-position model. The record is from RNAcentral.
CCGUACGAUACGAGUUUGAUCAUGGCUCAGGAUGAACGCUAGCGGGAGGCCUAAUACAUGCAAGUCGAACGGUAACAGGGUAGCAAUACCGCUGACGAGUGGCGCACGGGUGCGUAACACGUACACAAUCUACCUUAUACUGGAGCAUAACCUCGGGAAACUGAGGCUAAUUCUCCAUAACAUAUUAAAAAGGCAUCUUUUUGAUAUUAAAACUCCGGUGGUAUAAGAUGAGUGUGCGUCUGAUUAGCUAGUUGGUGGGGUAACGGGCUCACCAAGGCAACGAUCAGUAGCUGGUCUGAGAGGAUGAUCAGCCACACGGGCACUGAGACACGGGCCCGACUCCUACGGGAGGCAGCAGUAGGGAAUAUUGGACAAUGGGCGCAAGCCUGAUCUAGCCAUCCCGCGUGAAGGAUUAAGGCCCUCUGGGUUGUAAACUUCUUUCUUUGGGAAUAAAAACUACCGUUUCUACGGAGCUUGAAGGUACCAGAGGAAUAAGCACCGGCUAACUCCCGUG